UACGGGGGGGGCAAGCGUUGUUCGGAAUUACUGGGCGUAAAGGGCGCGUAGGCGGUCGUGACAAGUCACUUGUGAAAUCUCCGGGCUUAACUCGGAACGGUCAAGUGAUACUGUCGGACUAGAGUACAGAAGGGGCAACUGGAAUUCUCGGUGUAGCGGUGAAAUGCGUAGAUAUCGAGAGGAACACCUGCGGCGAAGGCGGGUUGCUGGGCUGAUACUGACGCUGAGGCGCGAAAGCUAGGGGAGCAAACGGG
RNAcentral lists this ribosomal RNA (254 nucleotides) under uncultured bacterium. RNAcentral describes it as "partial 16S ribosomal RNA". It matches the Rfam family "Bacterial small subunit ribosomal RNA", at positions 524 to 776 of the family's 1533-position model. The record is from RNAcentral.